GGAUACCCGCUGAACUUAAGCAUA
This 24-nucleotide ribosomal RNA is filed under the name Sticta fuliginosa. RNAcentral describes it as "partial 28S ribosomal RNA". The record is from RNAcentral. Lineage: Eukaryota; Fungi; Ascomycota; Lecanoromycetes; Peltigerales; Lobariaceae. RNAcentral also lists the same sequence under 68 other names.